Molecule: long non-coding RNA, 808 nt
Filed under: Capsella grandiflora
Lineage: Eukaryota; Viridiplantae; Streptophyta; Magnoliopsida; Brassicales; Brassicaceae
Description: long non-coding RNA (CGRA_LNC001783)
Source: RNAcentral
GGAAUCAUCUUGUCCGUGUAAAUGCAAAAGAGAGUGUGCGUUUGUGCCAUACUUGCCUGCGGACAAACUGGAGGAGACAUAUGCAUUGUUGACUGAGGCAGGAUUUAAAAUUGCCACUAUUGCUAGAUUUCUCGUGUGUGCUCCUACGCAUCGCCAUGGGCAAGAAUACUUCGACUGGAUAUGUCAGUUUGCAAAAUCCGUCAACGACCCUAGCUUAGGAAUCCGUGAUCCUGAGUUGAUGAAGCUUUCCCCUGAAGAACUUGAGGCCCGAGCGGAUAUUGCACUGAGGGAAUACCCGCAGAUCAUCGAAGCACUGGAUCUUAUAUAUGCUGCAAAGACACGUGACCUUGAUGAUGAUCAACCUCCAAUGAAGCCAUCUAAUUAACUAUAUAGUCUUUUCAUUUUUUUCAAUUUGAAUUGUUUUAACUUUAACAUAUAGAACUUGAUAUAAUAAUUAAGAGUUUUGAGGGACUAGCUAGAUAAGCAUAAAAUCUCCCUUGUUGUAGAUUCUAUAGAACUCGUGCCAUUUAUGUUUCUAUUUAAAACUUAAAUGCUAGAAGCUAGAAUGGUUACAUAUGUGAACAAAUGAACCUUUUAUCUUUAACAUAAAUGGAAACCAUGGUUACAGCUUCUGGUGUCUCAGUUACAUUAUAGUUGCUCAUCAUCACGUACUUAACAAAUUAUUGCGGUUCAUUAUAAAAAAUUACUGGAAACUCUACUAAUACUAAUGGCAUAAAAACAAAAGAAAAAUUUGUGAUCAUUACCAUACCAUCACACAACUAGGUGUAAGUUCAAGUAUUGUCCUCUU